This 212-nucleotide long non-coding RNA is filed under the name Phoenix dactylifera (date palm). RNAcentral's name for it is "long non-coding RNA (PDAC_LNC014930)". Lineage: Eukaryota; Viridiplantae; Streptophyta; Magnoliopsida; Arecales; Arecaceae. The record is from RNAcentral.
UUACAGCCCAGUAAGAAUUCCUACACAUCCAUACCAACACAAUAAUAAUAUGAAUUUGAAAACCACGACAAAUCGAUGCACAUUUCAUGAAAUCAUAAACAGUUUCCAAAAGACUCAAAUAAUCAAUAUAAUUACGUACAUCAACAUCAAUGAAAGUCCAUAAUUAUACAUCAAACAUCAAUGAAAGUCCAGCCACACAAGAAUGAUAUAGU